RNAcentral lists this ribosomal RNA (567 nucleotides) under uncultured bacterium. Its description in RNAcentral is "bacterial SSU rRNA". It matches the Rfam family "Bacterial small subunit ribosomal RNA", at positions 358 to 916 of the family's 1533-position model. The record is from RNAcentral.
GGAAUUUUGGACAAUGGGGGCAACCCUGAUCCAGCCAUUCCGCGUGAGUGAAGAAGGUCUUCGGGUUGUAAAGCUCUUUCGCAAGGGAAGAAAACUUAUGAUCGAAUAAAUCAUGAGGUUGACGGUACCUUGAUAAGAAGCACCGGCUAACUACGUGCCAGCAGCCGCGGUAAUACGUAGGGUGCGAGCGUUAAUCGGAAUUACUGGGCGUAAAGCGUGCGCAGGCGGUUUUGUAAGUCGGAUGUGAAAUCCCCGGGCUCAACCUGGGAACUGCGUUCGAAACUGCAAGGCUAGAGUGUGUCAGAGGGGGGUAGAAUUCCACGUGUAGCAGUGAAAUGCGUAGAGAUGUGGAGGAAUACCAAUGGCGAAGGCAGCCCCCUGGGAUAACACUGACGCUCAUGCACGAAAGCGUGGGGAGCAAACAGGAUUAGAUACCCUGGUAGUCCACGCCCUAAACGAUGUCAACUAGUUGUUGGUAGAGUAAAAUCUAUGAGUAACGUAGCUAACGCGUGAAGUUGACCGCCUGGGGAGUACGGUCGCAAGAUUAAAACUCAAAGGAAUUGACGG